UUAUUUGAUGAAAAAUUGUGUUGUGGUACCAAUUAUGUGUUGUGACAUAUUCAUACUCUAUUGGUAUAUGAAUCAUGUUAGAUUUCAUGGAUGAUUAGAAAUAAUGAAUGGUUAUUUGGCUCACCUGAUGGUAUAUGAUUGGUUGUGAAAAUACUCAUUGUGGUUGGUUAUGGAAAUACUCAUUGUGGUUGGUUGUGAGAAUUACAUCCUCAUACUUAUUUAUGAAACAAUGGUA
This 235-nucleotide long non-coding RNA is filed under the name Capsicum annuum. Its description in RNAcentral is "long non-coding RNA (CANN_LNC009349)". The record is from RNAcentral. Lineage: Eukaryota; Viridiplantae; Streptophyta; Magnoliopsida; Solanales; Solanaceae.